GGGGUUAUAGUUUAUAUAAAACAUUCAAUUUGCACUUGAAAGAUAAAAACCUUA
RNAcentral lists this transfer RNA (54 nucleotides) under Menacanthus cornutus. RNAcentral's name for it is "tRNA-Ala". Lineage: Eukaryota; Metazoa; Arthropoda; Insecta; Psocodea; Menoponidae. The record is from RNAcentral.